Molecule: ribosomal RNA, 281 nt
Filed under: Solidosagitta marri
Lineage: Eukaryota; Metazoa; Chaetognatha; Sagittoidea; Aphragmophora; Sagittidae
Description: partial 28S ribosomal RNA
Source: RNAcentral
UGAGGGAAAGCUGCAAAGUACUCUGAAGAGAGAGUUCAAAAGGACGUGAAGCCGUCUGCAGGGAAACGGGUGAGACCGCACGGUAGACCCGCGGCGGAUUCAGCCCCGGGGGCAACCUCGGGGUGCACUUCCGCGCCUGCGGGUCGCGCAGGGCCCGACUCUGCGGCCGUCUGAAGCCCGGCGAGGAGGUGACGGGGUUCUUCGGGACUCCGAGUUUAACUCGUCGGCGCGGAGACCGGCUGCGGGGUCGAGGAACGUCCAUCCAUCUUUUGACGCAUUUU